Molecule: transfer RNA, 31 nt
Filed under: Spiranthes igniorchis
Lineage: Eukaryota; Viridiplantae; Streptophyta; Magnoliopsida; Asparagales; Orchidaceae
Description: partial tRNA-Gly
Source: RNAcentral
GCGUAUGCGGAUAUGGUCGAAUGGUAAAAUU